This 67-nucleotide transfer RNA is filed under the name Arnoglossus tenuis (dwarf lefteye flounder). RNAcentral's name for it is "tRNA-Ser". The record is from RNAcentral. Lineage: Eukaryota; Metazoa; Chordata; Actinopteri; Pleuronectiformes; Bothidae.
GAGAGAGGCUUGUAGCACUGGAGACUGCUAAUCUUCACGACCUGGGUUAAAAUCCAAGGCUCACUCG